AUGAGUAAUAGAGGAAACGUGUCUUGUUUAGAAAAAAUAGGGGAAAAGAAAAAGGAAUUAAGUUUUUGAAAACAGAUCCAAAAAAAUUCCAUCCUUCACUUCUUUCUUUCGUUAUCAUUCUCUUUGCGCAUACUCCCUCCGAUCAGCCACCACAAAUAUUCCGGCUACUCCACCGUGAAACAUGUAAUGCAUACCACCAAUCCAAGCUUUCAAUCCCCCUAGUUUUUCUCAAUUUUUGGAGCUGAGGUUGCAAACCCUUCUCCACUUAGCUUUGCAAAUUAGUUGAAAUUAGAGGUGAACCGAGUGCAAACACAAGCGAUAGGGGAAAGGGGCAUAUCCAUGGUUGACUAAGAAAGUAAUAGCGUUUUUCUGACAUGUACAGGUUUUAUUUUGUCGCUUGGAAUGUGUUGGAAAUGAGUGUUGAUAUGAGAUACAUGAUAUGAUGGGAGAAAAGAUAUGUGACGUCAAGUGUGAUUGGAUGGAAGUGAUGUGUGAUACAUGGUAUGAUGGGAUGAAGUAUAUGCGAUGUGAUGUGUGAUGGGAGGAAAUACUAAGAUAUGGUAUGAUAUGAGGAGUUGAUCAAUCCCCUUUUGGGUGCAUGUGUGUAACAAAUAUACCUAUAUUUAUAGUUAAGCGCACUUGGGGUAAGUGAGUGCAUAUAUGUGAUAAUUUCUAUUAUACUGUACUUUGGUAAGAUGUAUAUGAUAAUAUUUGCAUUACUAUAUAUGGUAAAAUAUUGUGUUGAUAAUUGACA
Salvia hispanica is the source of this 754-nucleotide non-coding RNA. The record is from RefSeq and is a predicted model, not a curated record. Lineage: Eukaryota; Viridiplantae; Streptophyta; Magnoliopsida; Lamiales; Lamiaceae.